AUUGAACGCUGGCGGCAGGCCUAACACAUGCAAGUCGAGCGGAUGAAGGGAGCUUGCUCCUGGAUUCAGCGGCGGACGGGUGAGUAAUGCCUAGGAAUCUGCCUGGUAGUGGGGGAUAACGUCCGGAAACGGGCGCUAAUACCGCAUACGUCCUGAGGGAGAAAGUGGGGGAUCUUCGGACCUCACGCUAUCAGAUGAGCCUAGGUCGGAUUAGCUAGUUGGUGGGGUAAAGGCCUACCAAGGCGACGAUCCGUAACUGGUCUGAGAGGAUGAUCAGUCACACUGGAACUGAGACACGAUCCAGACUCCUACGGGAGGCAGCAGUGGGGAAUAUUGGACAAUGGGCGAAAGCCUGAUCCAGCCAUGCUGCGUGUGUGAAGAAGGUCUUCGGAUUGUAAAGCACUUUAAGUUGGGAGGAAGGGCAGUAAGUUAAUACCUUGCUGUUUUGACGUUACCAACAGAAUAAGCACCGGCUAACUUCGUG
RNAcentral lists this ribosomal RNA (484 nucleotides) under uncultured bacterium. RNAcentral describes it as "partial 16S ribosomal RNA". It matches the Rfam family "Bacterial small subunit ribosomal RNA", at positions 30 to 507 of the family's 1533-position model. The record is from RNAcentral.